AAAAGAAAAAAGAAAAACCUUAGGGAAAAAGGGGGUUUUAUCAAAAUAUACCGAGUUUAAACAUUCUAUAUUGUCAUUAUUCAUCAAAACUACAUUGAAACUCAGUUUGGAGGUGAAAAAGAGUUAACUGACACAGAAAACAAUCUGUUACCAAGGUUUUCUUUUUUAAGUUUAUGGUUAAUACAUGGUGUUUUCAUUCAUAAAAUGGAAUUAGAUACUGUAUUUACAAUUCUUACUCAUCUGAUCAACAGAAGCCUUUCCAGGGCAGUUGUGCUCAAACCUCAGGGUACUUGUUAAAAAGCAGAUCGUCGGGACCCACCUGAACCACCUCAGAGAUUCUAACUCAUGAGGCAGGUAAGGACCUGGAACCUGCAUUCUUGACGGUGGCCCCAUGACGGCUCUUAAGCACUUUGAGACACAUCUUGAAAACUGUUUCCCCAGGAAAAACGAAUGGGCAGGAAGUAUUGUGUGGUCAUCCCAUUUCCGUGUGGAAAUCCCUACCAAUUCCAGGCUGCUGACAGAAACGCAUUUCGUAGGUGAUUCAACAGCUUGGCCUCCUUCCUCUUCAUUCAAGUUUCAUAUCAGAGAGCAGACUGCAAAUUUACUACUUUUGAAUAUACUCCUGGAAAUUAUCACGAGCAGGAUACUUGCCCUUUGAUGGCAAAUACAGGCACGAAAGCCCAACAAUUCCAGUGUCCAGUGGAAAGAAAACAUUGGGGAAGACCCGAAAGAGAGAGAAAGCGCUCUGUGUUGGGAAAGGCGCUGGCAGGCAGUACUCACAGAGCUCGGAGGCUGAGCAACUGCUGGAAAGUGUCAACUUUAAUUUCAAAGAUUUCAUUAUGUCGCAGGUCUCUGAAACGACAGGGUUCCAAAGAUUGAUUUCAAAGUCACUGGUUUCAAAGAUUAGUUUUCGGAGUACUUCUACAGAAAGAUUACCUGCCCUCAAUCAAAGGAACACAUGAAAUAUGAGUGUCAAGUGACUGAUUAAAAAUUUUUUGUUUUGUUUAAAGAAGAACAUUCCAAUUUAUACACUUAAGCGUUGCCGCUCUUUCAGAGCAACGAGUUCUUUCGGGUGGAUGUAAAACUAUAUUCCAAAUGCCAUCAUCAUUCAAUCAUGUGGCGCCUGCUGGCUCUGCCUUGCAUCCUACACAGUCACACCUUGUGUGUAUAAGAAGGGAAAAGCACCAAAUGCCUCCCCAGCGACCUGCAGGGCAAGCAAACCAAUGACCCCUGGAAAAGAGCUGCUAUAUCUCUACAGCUAAGAGAAUCAUUGUUGGUUCUUUUCUAAUCAGCUAAAAAAAAAUCCAACAACAAGUCAAAACAUAGCACUAACUUUGAAAUCAAUCACUACAAGGGGGAAAAAAAAAUCUAAGAAAGUCUUCAGCCAAAACUCAACAAAUUACAGAAUAACAAAAACAUCUGGACAUAUUUAUAGUAUAAUAUAACUAAUCUAAAACAAGCCAUGGUAAUUUGCAGAAAGCUUAAAAAAAGAAAGCUGGUAGAUAAAGUAACAUAGAUAUUUAAAAAAAAUCUUGUCUCAUGUUUUAAAAGUUAUCGGCUAAUCAACUAACACACUUUCAUGCCUGAUUCUAAUUCUUCAAACCAGAUCGCCACCAUGGAACUGAAAAAUCCAUACUGUUUUCUAAGAGGCUUUUAAAUUAUCUUGUUCUUGUAAUUGAUCACUUUUUUCUACAUUUAGUGAAUAAAUGGAAUUCAUAUAGAAAUACAGUUCAGUUACCACACACAAAUAAUGCAAACGAAGCUGUUUGCAAACACAAGUUUGUAGUUUAUACUAGAGGCUUGAAAGACCAAACUAAACCAAACAAAAUAUGAAAAAACCCAAAACCAUACCCCACACCUACGCACAAAUACACCUGGUUAAAAAUUCGGUGUAUAUUUUUAAAAAGUAGUAAAUGUGAUAAAAUGGACAUACAUAUCAUCAAAGCUGAUAAUAAUUUGGUUCGCUCAUCUCCACACACUGCAAGGAGACAAAUCCUUCCUGUGCACCUCUUAGUAGAGGAUACAUAAAACCUUCUUCCAUGUAAAGACCCAGUGUCACCUUCUACCUACCUUCUACCUAAUGAUUUUCAUGGCUAACAUUGAUGAAGCACUUCUUAAAUAUAGACACCAUAUUUACAGCUUUACCUAAAUUAUUUCAUUUGACCUGUGGUCACCUUAUGAGGGAGACACUGAUUAUUACCAUACAAUGUGAAAUAAUUUGCCUAAGAUCACCAGCUACUUAGUGGGGAAAGCCACACACAGCCAGGGAAUUCCCAUGGAGGUGAAGCAACUUGGGGGCAAUUUCUUCAUGUACAAGUACUCAGUGGAUGAUUCAGCCAAAGGGUGGAAGCUCGCAGACCUAUGUUUCCAGAACAUAAAGUAGACUGUAGUAGAGGUUGGGACCCUGAGUCCUAUUCUCAGCCUCAACUUAGAUUCUUCAACUUGGUCAAUAUGUUGGUCAAAGCAUUAUACGCUUUUUAGUUCUCUCCUUAAAUGAGAAGAUACCUGCUGAUCUUGCAGUGUUGUGAAGAACAAAUCAAAAUUACAGGUUGAAGUGCUUUGAAAAUGACAAGCUUCUGUGGUUAAUGGAUUUGUAUUCUUUCAGACCUUUCAAGUUUCAGCUUGAGGAAAGACUAGCUUGAAGAAAGAGUAAUGGUUUAAGGGAAACAAGAAAGAAGUUGAUAAGAGCUAACACUGCCUGAGAGUUUACGAUGUUCCAGUGCUGGUAUAAGUGUCUGACAUGUAGUAAUUCAUUUAAUCCUCAUGAUGAUCCUCUGAAGGAAAUGGCUAUGUCUCUAUUUUAUAGACUGGGAAAUGGAACCCCAGAAGGGAUAAAUAACUUCCUCAAGAUCUCUUGCUGGUGUAUAGAGAGACGGGAUUUGAACCAGAAAAACAGACCAGGGACUUUGCUCUUAGCCAAUUUAUGCAAUUCUAGACCUGGGUGGUUUACCAUUUGCUAUGUGACAUAGUGGAGACAGAUGCAGUUUAAAUGCUGGCUCCUUAAGUAUUAGCUAUAGCCUGUGAAAUCUUAGUCAUGUUAUUAAGCCAGUUUCCUUGAGAAAUGAGGGUAAUUAUGCCAUUUUGGGUGGGUAGGCAGAAUUCUAAAAUGGCCCCUAAGAUUUCCACUACCUGGUGUUCAUGCACUCUCUCCUGGUAUUCAAUCAAACUGCCUGUAUUUGAAUUUGGACUCUGCUACUUUCUUGCUGUGUGACUUUGACAAAUGUGCUUAACUGUCCUAAUUCUCAGCUUCCUCAUCUGUAUCUAUACCUCAGAGGGCGAUGUGGGAGAAGAGGAGGAGACUUACUCUAUGUUCCCUCCCUUUACACACAAAUGACUGACUCCAAGGCUGUCACGUGGUGUUAUUACAAUCUCCUAUCACUGAACAACUGAAGUCUAAAGUGGCUAGGGGGCUGGGAGAGGGGAAGGCAGAAUCAUUAUGGCAGACAUUCCCAUUCUUCCCCUUACACUUGUAGUGCUGCUUGUACCUCUGCUACUGGGUGAAGCCUGUGGUGGAAUUAGAGGCAUUCAACUGACACAGAUGUCUCCUCUGUGAGAACACAGCCAUGACUGGAGACUAAGGGUCCAUUCAUUAAGUUCCCACAAUGCAUGAGAGGAUGGUAAUAGGGUUGGGAGUUGAGGGGAAGGGCUGAAAAUGGAAGGUCAAAACAAAGCUCUUCAAAUUCCUAUAAACUACUUUUCAGAAAGGGAAAGGCAGAGGAAAAAAAACCAACAACCCAAGUCAACAGAAAUAAUAAAUGCAAGCUGUUUAACCAUUAGUGGAAACAUUAGAACAUGGCACCCACAACUAUACUGGAAGAAUGUUUGGUCACCUUUAUCAAGGAUGGAAAAAUCAAAAAGAACUAUGGCCACUUACAUUGUAAUAAGAGAAGGAUUGCCUACAAAUGCUUUCUCAGGUAUUGACUUGAUAUUGUUGCUGUGAAAUCCUCUAGAAAGAGAGGGAAAAUUUUUUUUUAGAAAAUAACGUGUAGGGUAAAAUUAUGUAAUGGUACCUCCCCCCACCCCCUUCCUGUGGCAAUAAUCAACAUCUUUGGUAACUAGAGGAUACAGUUAAAUUCCUCUAUGCAUUUUGAAGCUUAUGUGCUCACUAGGAGAAAAAGAAAUCACGAGCUCUUAUCUUGAAAGAGGAAUAAAGAAUCUGAAAAUAAUAGUUGUGCUUUAUGGAAAUUUACAAUCUAAUGUUAUAAAAAGAAAUUCCAUCUGUUAAUAUCCAAUAGAGCACCAUUGUAUAACAACUUGAGAGAGAGGGAACCAUCUUUGGAGAGGGGAUUAUGAUCACUCCUUCUGACCCCAUUUGAAGCUAGGAGAAGAGAAAAUUGACUUAAGCUGCUGUGAAGCAGAGAUUUAAGUAAUCUCCUUAUGAGGGCAAAAUUUCCUGAGCUGAGGGAAGUUGCUCAGUGAGUGUGUAAUAACAAAUUGACUCUCCUCUGUCGGUGCUAAUGUUGUCUGAAUGGCAGAGGGGCAGAGUCAAUGAUCUCUGGGUCCCAUGUGGGCCUGUGGCUGGAUAAGGUGAGUGACAGUCUUUGGGUUGCCUAAGCAGAGACCACGAUGACUUCCCGGUUCAGCCACACGUGGGGUUCCUGAGGGAGAACCCCCUCCUAAAGGCUUUUUCUUACAAACAAGCCCUGUUGUCUGCCUCCUUUAGCUGUGUGUCUUAUUUCUCUCAGCCAAGAGGAUAGGCUCUAUGUUUAUUUUUCUUUCCAAAUAUUGGAACAUUCCUUUCAUACAUUAUUCAUAUUUUUAGGUACAAAGAAAAGGCAAUUAAAUUUUAGUAUAUAAAAGACAAUAUAUGCAACCUAGGAGCUGAAAGUUAGCUUUACCUUAGUAAAAUUGUAAGUUUUUAAAAAUUAAAUAUGACUCACAGAGUAUUUAAAGAAUAUGAAAUAAUGUAUGUGAAAGCAUCUAGCAUAGUACUAGGCACAUGCAUUUGAUUUCUCUAGUCCUAGACUUAUGCAGCCUAGAGAAGUUUGUUUUUCAAAAUGCUUGGCAAAUAACUGAAUUCCAUAGCAAUUUUCUAUAAAUCUAUGAAGUAUAUAAAUGUUGGGGAAAUAUAGCUUAGGAAAAGAGUAUGAUUUAGAGAACUAUGUAUAUAUUUUUUAAUAUACACAUAUUAGAGAAAUCCAUUAUAAAUUUAAAAAAGACUAUCUGAUGGUAGAGUAAAUUAAAAUAUAUUACAGGUUUACUUAACCAUUAUUUAUACAAACUUAUUUAUUUGUUUAAAUGUUUAUUUAUUUAUUUUGAGAGAGAGAGAGAGAGAGACAGAGAGAGAGAGAGAGUGGGGGAGGGGCAGAAAGAGAGUGGGAGAGAGAAAAUCCCAAGCAGGCUCCACACUCAGCAUGGAGCCCAACUUGGGGCUUGAUCUCAAGACUGCAAGAUCACUACCUGAGCUGAUAUCAAGAGUCAGAUGCUUAACCGACUGAGCCACCUAGGUGCCCCUAUACAAGCUUUUAAAAAUCUUCU
This is a long non-coding RNA of Neofelis nebulosa (Clouded leopard), 5478 nucleotides long. RefSeq lists it as uncharacterized. The record is from RefSeq and is a predicted model, not a curated record. Lineage: Eukaryota; Metazoa; Chordata; Mammalia; Carnivora; Felidae. The transcript has 4 exons.